Molecule: long non-coding RNA, 1802 nt
Organism: Protopterus annectens (West African lungfish)
Lineage: Eukaryota; Metazoa; Chordata; Ceratodontiformes; Protopteridae
Exons: 6
Source: RefSeq, a predicted model, not a curated record
AUUUCACCACGCAGACUGGAAGUUACCAUUUCUCCCUUUCUUCACACAGCAGAUAUGCGACUUUCUGCAAAUUUCAUAGGCUGUGGCUGAAAUGGUUUCCCCAAGGACAUAUUUCUGUUGACUAUAUUGUCAUGCGGUGCAAGCCAAAAGAAGCACACAAGGAAACUGACCUGCUUAGUUGGACAUGCCAACCUGUGAACCAUAUUUGAUAUUUGAUGGUAUACCCAAGUGUUGUGACCACCAUUAUUUCAAGCGUCUCACAUCAAUAGGAACCAGAAGUAAGAAUUCAUGCUGAGUCUCCAAAAUAAGCAGUCUCUCCUUGAAGGCAGAUUAUCACUCAAAAAUGCUGAGACAUGGUUGACUAUGUAAACCGACCUUUACUUUAUAAAAUCAUCCCCAUGGCUUGUGUGAGCUACUUUCCAUUAAGUGCUCCAACUUUUCACAAUGCAAAGGCUGCAGAACUCAGUAUCCUGUAAAAGACUUGCACCAGAUUCUGACCCAUACAACUCCUGUAUCACAAUGCUGCUGUUAGUGAAAGAAAAUCUGCACAAGAUUACAAUAGGAAUGGAAAAAAAUCUGUCCAGGCUAGCCCAUUUGCAGCAGUGGCCCUGAGAUAUAAACUCUAGAGGAGUACAACUGAACACCAAACCUUAAGACACCACUAAAAACAUGAGGUAAAUCAAGAGUAUCAACAGAUGUAACAGCAUUAAAACCCUGCCUCACAGCUCUGUGGUUGUGGCUCCAUCCUGUGUGUUUGCAUGUUCUUUCUAAGUUAACAUGACCCCCCCAGGUACUCAUUUCAUUCCACAUUUGAAACACAUUCUGGUUUACUAUCUACACAGACGUACAGCUUAGUACAUCAAACUUACACCAUCAGAAAGGAAGUGCUGCAUCAAAUUCAGCAAAUUCAGCGAAGAUUUGUUUUUAAAUAUGGGCAAGUGCCUUUGCAGUUCCCACACCCUUCUGCACAUAUAUUACCUACACGAUUUCUACUUGCCUCUCAACUAUUUAAACUUAACAAGAAUGAGACUGUUCCUCCCACUAGCCUCCAGACUAUAUUCAGUGAUGCACCACCAUAGAGCUUUAAACAUGUUAACCCACAGGUCCUCUUCUCCAAUCCCCACCAAAUUAGGUUUCAGUGCACAGACCAUUAUUCGUCAGUCCUUGGUCCCAAUUUGUUGGAAUCUCUCCCUCCUUUUCUUAAACAUCAUUCUUCUUACCCCAUUCUCUGAUUAGAAAUAAAAGCACAUUACAAGACUCUAAGAAAUGACAACUGCUCUCUCUGCAUUCCCAUAUAACAUAACCCUUCCUGCUCUUCUACCAGCUACAUAGCUUGCUGUGAUACCACUCUUCAUAGUGAUUUUUUCAUCAUGCCAGCUCUGAUAGCAUCUCUGUAUAUAAUGCAUGUACAUAAUGUUUUUUCAGUUAAUCUGUAUAUAACGCAUUGUAUCUAUUAUCCGCAUCCCCUCUAGUCAACUCUUAUAUUCACUUUGUAUAUAAGACAUGUAAGUAUUGCAUUUUGUCUUUCUCUUUAUGUAUAAUGUUAUGUAUUGAUUGCAUUUAUCCCCAGGUUUGAGACUGAAAUAGGCUAAUGGGAUCAUUGCUUUACCCCAGUUAACAAAUUCAAAAUAAAUAAAUAAGAUUGCACAGCUGUUGUCCAAGUCCCUUUUUCCACUGUCACCUGAUCUUGUAAAAACAUAUGAUAUGCUAUCCCUUUACAGUCAAACGUAAUAAUACAAAAAUGCUGAUAACCUGUUACUUGCACUAUUGCAUAAGUCAAUAUUAUAUGUUAGCGUUUUUUU